RNAcentral lists this ribosomal RNA (497 nucleotides) under uncultured bacterium. Its description in RNAcentral is "partial 16S ribosomal RNA". It matches the Rfam family "Bacterial small subunit ribosomal RNA", at positions 28 to 507 of the family's 1533-position model. The record is from RNAcentral.
GAUGAACGCUGGCGGCGUGCCUAAUACAUGCAAGUCGAACGAAGAGGCGGGAAGCUGGCUCCUCGGACGUUAUCCGCAGACGUGUGAAUAGCGCAUGGAUAACCUACCUAAGAGGCGGAGAUAACUUCGGAAAGCCAGAGCUAAUACCAUGUAAUAUAUUAAAGCACGUUAUUCAAUAGUAAGGGACGGUUGUUCUGUCACUUGUAGAUGGAGCCUCGCCUCAUUAGCUAGUUGGUAAGGUAGCGGCUUACAAAGGCGACGAUUCGUAGCCGCCCUGAGAGGGUGACCGGCCACACUGGACCUGAGCAACGGCCAAGACUCCUACGGGAGGAAGAAGUAGGGAAUCUUCCGAAAUGGGGGAAAGCCUGCCGGAGAACAGCCGCGUGAGUGAUGAAGGUUUCCGGAUCGUAAACUCUUGUUAUUAGGGAAGAACAAAUGUGUAAGUAACUAUGCACGCUUUGACGGUACCUAACCAGAAAGCCACGGCUAACUACGUG